Molecule: ribosomal RNA, 934 nt
Filed under: Fellodistomum agnotum
Lineage: Eukaryota; Metazoa; Platyhelminthes; Trematoda; Strigeidida; Fellodistomidae
Description: eukaryotic LSU rRNA
Rfam family: Eukaryotic large subunit ribosomal RNA
Source: RNAcentral
UAUCACUAAGCGGAGGAAAAGAAACUAACAAGGAUUCCCUUAGUAACGGCGAGUGAACAGGGAAGAGCCCAGCACCGAAGCCUGUGGCCAUUUGGUCUCUAGGCAAUGUGGUGUUUAGGUCAGCUCGCGGAGACACUGUCCCACUCUAAGUCCAGCAAUGAGACUGGUAUCUGGACAUGGCCCAAAGAGGGUGAAAGGCCCGUGAGGGUGGGAACUCAGACAUGCCAGUGUCUCCCUGAGUAGACCUUGGAGUCGGGUUGUUUGUGAAUGCAGCCCAAAGUGGGUGGUAAACUCCAUCCAAGGCUAAAUACUAACACGAGUCCGAUAGCGAACAAGUACCGUGAGGGAAAGUUGAAAAGUACUUUGAAGAGAGAGUAAACAGUGCGUGAAACCGCUCAGAGGUAAACGGGUGGAGUUGAACUGCAAAGCUCCGAGAAUUUAACUGGUGAGUGUGGUAUACACUUGGAUAUAUUGGUUGGCCCUCAAAGUCUGCAGAAAACUGUGGAGGCUGUGCUAACGCGCGGCGUGCGUUGAAGCGCUUAUCAAGCGCUGUGCUCUUUGGGGGUACUUCGAACCUGCUUGCCAGUGCAUUUUCUCAGAGUGAUCACCACGACCGGCGCUGCUGUCUGUCUGCUGUGGUUAAACCGGGUGUGUAUCGUCCUUGUGGCUUUGCAUACUCGGGAUGGCAGGUAACCCGAUUGUGCUUGUCACGAUUGGGUGUAAUCAGCUGACCAUAGUAGUACUGUGCAGUGCGUCGGAGACGGCGGCUUGUGGUGCGUACAUGCGUGCAUGUUGAGUGGCGGCUUUGGGUCUGGUUAUACUGUAGCCUGUAAAAACAGGCCAUGUAAUGGCCCAGGGUUGUUCACUUGAUGGUUGCGUAUGGGGCACUUUAAUGGGCCUACAGUCUGUGGUGUAGUGGUAGACGAUCCACCGA